RNAcentral lists this small nuclear RNA (164 nucleotides) under Vicugna pacos (alpaca). RNAcentral's name for it is "U1 spliceosomal RNA (ENSVPAG00000016151.1)". It matches the Rfam family "U1 spliceosomal RNA". Rfam says of the family: U1 is a small nuclear RNA (snRNA) component of the spliceosome (involved in pre-mRNA splicing). Its 5' end forms complementary base pairs with the 5' splice junction, thus defining the 5' donor site of an intron. Lineage: Eukaryota; Metazoa; Chordata; Mammalia; Artiodactyla; Camelidae. The record is from Rfam by way of RNAcentral.
AUAUUUACCUGGCAGGGGAGACACCAUGAUUAUGAAGGUAGUUUUCCCAGGGCAAGGCUUGUCCAUUGCACUCUGGAUGUGCUGACCCCUGCAAUUUCCCCAAAUGUGGGAAACUCAAUUGCAUAAUUUGUGGUAGUGGGGGACUGCAUUCACGCUUUCCCCUU